This 512-nucleotide ribosomal RNA is filed under the name uncultured bacterium. RNAcentral's name for it is "bacterial SSU rRNA". It matches the Rfam family "Bacterial small subunit ribosomal RNA", at positions 555 to 1071 of the family's 1533-position model. The record is from RNAcentral.
UGGGUUUAAAGGGAGCGUAGGCUGGAGAUUAAGUGUGUUGUGAAAUGUAGACGCUCAACGUCUGACUUGCAGCGCAUACUGGUUUCCUUGAGUACGCACAACGUUGGCGGAAUUCGUCGUGUAGCGGUGAAAUGCUUAGAUAUGACGAAGAACUCCGAUUGCGAAGGCAGCUGACGGGAGUGCAACUGACGCUGAAGCUCGAAGGUGCGGGUAUCGAACAGGAUUAGAUACCCUGGUAGUCCGCACAGUAAACGAUGGAUGCCCGCUGUUGGUACCUGGUAUCAGCGGCUAAGCGAAAGCAUUAAGCAUCCCACCUGGGGAGUACGCCGGCAACGGUGAAACUCAAAGGAAUUGACGGGGGCCCGCACAAGCGGAGGAACAUGUGGUUUAAUUCGAUGAUACGCGAGGAACCUUACCCGGGCUUGAAUUGCAGAGGAAGGAUUUAGAGAUAAUGACGCCCUUCGGGGUCUCUGUGAAGGUGCUGCAUGGUUGUCGUCAGCUCGUGUCGUGAG